RNAcentral lists this transfer RNA (63 nucleotides) under Mytilisepta keenae. Its description in RNAcentral is "tRNA-His". Lineage: Eukaryota; Metazoa; Mollusca; Bivalvia; Mytilida; Mytilidae. The record is from RNAcentral.
UAAGGAUUAGUUUAGUUAGAACGUUAGUUUGUGGUACUAGGAGAAAUUUGUAGUUAUCUUUAA